Erythranthe guttata (spotted monkey flower) is the source of this 1345-nucleotide non-coding RNA. NCBI's taxonomy places the organism in Eukaryota, Viridiplantae, Streptophyta, Magnoliopsida, Lamiales, Phrymaceae. The record is from RefSeq and is a predicted model, not a curated record.
UCUUUUCCCUUUCUUCAUGAGUUUAUUUAUUUUUUAUUCCUUCGAACUUCUUUUUUAUUUUUUCCUCAUCAGAUGUUUUAUUCUCUCUCAACCACGUCUCUCCAUCUUUUCCCUUUCCGAACGAUUCUUCCUCUCGCAGCCACCACCGCGCCAACCCCGGCCAGCACCACCGCGUCAACCUCGGUCGGCACCACCGCGCCAACCUCACCACCACCAGUACCCUUAUCUCUAUUUGUCACUGAAUUUAAAUCAUAUCAAGGACCAGCCAUCGCCGCUACCACCGCGAUCUCAAUCAGUCUCUCUACAAGUCGGGAGAUUGAGUAACUUCAGACUUGGAUUGUGUUUAAAGAAUGAGGUAUUAUGUUAUUAAUUGUGUGAUUGAGACUAUUUGGGACAUUGGAUUUCUUGCGUAGGGUUUGUGUAGUAGGGCAUUUAAUCUACCUUUUUUUUAAUUCCAAGUGAUUGUACUUGUAGCUACACGAGUAUUUAAAAGCAACAUGUUAUUAUUUAUUUCAAAGAAUACUGUCUUCCAUGUUUCUUACAUGAUCAUGUGAGGCUACCACUUGACAUAUUUACUUUAUUUUAUCUUUUUAUUAUGACAGACUAUGAUGAAAUUGAUGGUACAUUGUAAUGUGAAGGGUUUUGAGGUUCAGGAUUCUAUUCUUUUACCUUUCCUUCUUCGCUUGGGUAAUUAUUUAUUUCAUUCUCAAGUAUACUAUGUCUACCACUACGUUUUCUUUCAUUUUAGUGUUAUGAAUUUUGUUAAUGCAGAUAAAUAAACAGAAAACCCUUGAAGGUGAGCAAUUAUCUGAUUUUUCUAGGAGAGUCAUACCACUGCUUGAGGACUAAGCGAACGAAAAAUAUGAUGAUGUAUUCGCAUACAGGCACUAAACAACGUCGACGAGGGAUUGGAAACAUUUUUCACCAGAAAAAUACUAUUCAAUCAGACAGAUGAGUGAAAUAUGAUCAACAAUGGAGGGAAAUAUGCGAAAAAAAUAUAUAUCAGUCUUGCUAACUACAUACAUCAACUGCAACCACCAUUACAAAAAUAUAUGUUUAAGGUACCAUCUUUGAGUUAUUCGUUUCUUAACUCUCCAUAACUCUCCAACAGUUUUGAGUUUUUGCUAUAUUUAUACUUUAAUGUCUAUUUGAAAUUCUUUAUGUUGCCAUACUUCUUUUCAUAUAUUGAAAAUGAUCAAGCACCAAUUUCUGAAGGAAAACCAACUUUGUCAAGGAAAAUGAAGAGUAGAUGACUUUUGAGUUGUAUAGAAUGUAAGUUAAAUCAUGUUGUGAAUAAUUGAAGCCGUUUAUUUUCUAAUUUUAUUUCCUUUUUUGGCUCCUGAAU